GCUGGGCUUGGUGGCUCGUGCCUGUAGUCCCAGCUGCUCGGGAGCCUGAGGUGGGAGGAUUGCUUGAGCCCAGGCAUUCUGGGCUGUAGUGUGCUAUGCCAAUCGGUGUCCACACUAAGUUCAGCAUCAGUAUGGUGACCUACCAGGAGUGGAGGAUGACCAGGUUGUCUGGGGAGGGGUGAACCAGCCCAGGUUGGAAACAGAGCACUCCUGUGCUGAAUAGCCACUGCACUCCAGCCUGGGCAACAUAGCAAGACCCUGUCUCUG
This is an unclassified non-coding RNA of Callithrix jacchus (white-tufted-ear marmoset), 267 nucleotides long. It matches the Rfam family "Metazoan signal recognition particle RNA". Rfam says of the family: The signal recognition particle (SRP) is a universally conserved ribonucleoprotein. It is involved in the co-translational targeting of proteins to membranes. Lineage: Eukaryota; Metazoa; Chordata; Mammalia; Primates; Cebidae. The record is from Ensembl.